UAGAUACCCUAUUAUUUUGGAUUUAAAGGUAUAAACUUGAGUAGUAUUAGAUAUGAUCUUGAAACUUAAAGAAUUUGGCGGUAUUUUAGUCUAGUUAGAGGAAUCUGUUCCAUUAUCGAUAAUCCGCGUUGAACCUUACUCAGUAUAAUUUAAUAUGUAUACCGCCGUUUAUUUGAAGAUCUUUUUAGGGUUAAAUUUUCUUUAAAUUUUAAUUGAUUUUAUUUCAGGUCAAGGUGCAGUUUAUAAUUGGGUGGAAAUGGAUUACAAUAUUUAUAAAGUAAACGAAUUGAAAUUUGAAAGUAUUUUAUGAAGGGGGAUUUAAUAGUAAUUAAUAAUAAGAAUUAUUUUUGUGAUUUUAGCUCUAAAAUGUGUACACAUCGCCCGUCACUCUCGUUAUUAAGAUGAGAUAAGUC
This 413-nucleotide ribosomal RNA is filed under the name Panesthia obtusa. Its description in RNAcentral is "partial 12S ribosomal RNA". Lineage: Eukaryota; Metazoa; Arthropoda; Insecta; Blattodea; Blaberidae. The record is from RNAcentral.